UACGGGAAAGCAGCAGUGGGGAAUAUUGGACAAUGGGCGGAAGCCUGAUCCAGCCAUGCCGCGUGUGUGAAGAAGGCCUUAUGGUUGUAAAGCACUUUAAGCGAGGAGGAGGCUACUUGAGUUAAUACCUAGAGAUAGUGGACGUUACUCGCAGAAUAAGCACCGGCUAACUCUGUGCCAGCAGCCGCGGUAAUACAGAGGGUGCGAGCGUUAAUCGGAUUUACUGGGCGUAAAGCGUGCGUAGGCGGCUUUUUAAGUCAAAUGUGAAAUCCCCGAGCUUAACUUGGGAAUUGCAUUCGAUACUGGGAAGCUAGAGUAUGGGAGAGGAUGGUAGAAUUCCAGGUGUAGCGGUGAAAUGCGUAGAGAUCUGGAGGAAUACCGAUGGCGAAGGCAGCCAUCUGGCCUAAUACUGACGCUGAGGUGCGAAAGCAUGGGGAGCAAACAGGAUUAGAUACCCUGGUAGUCCAUGCCGUAAACGAUGUCUACUAGCCGUUGGGGCCUUUGAGGCUUUAGUGGCGCAGCUAACGCGAUAAGUA
RNAcentral lists this ribosomal RNA (536 nucleotides) under Acinetobacter sp. RNAcentral's name for it is "bacterial SSU rRNA". It matches the Rfam family "Bacterial small subunit ribosomal RNA", at positions 340 to 866 of the family's 1533-position model. Lineage: Bacteria; Pseudomonadati; Pseudomonadota; Gammaproteobacteria; Moraxellales; Moraxellaceae. The record is from RNAcentral.